UGUUUCGGCUAGGGGGCCAUCCCGGCUUACCAACCCGAUGCAAACUGCGAAUACCGGAGAAUGUUAUCACGGGAGACACACGGCGGGUGCUAACGUCCGUCGUGAAGAGGGAAACAACCCAGACCGCCAGCUAAGGUCCCAAAGUCAUGGUUAAGUGGGAAACGAUGUGGGAAGGCCCAGACAGCCAGGAUGUUGGCUUAGAAGCAGCCAUCAUUUAAAGAAAGCGUAAUAGCUCACUGGUCGAGUCGGCCUGCGCGGAAGAUGUAACGGGGCUAAACCAUGCACCGAAGCUGCGGCAGCGACGCUUAUGCGUUGUUGGGUAGGGGAGCGUUCUGUAAGCCGUUGAAGGUGUGCUGUGAGGCAUGCUGGAGGUAUCAGAAGUGCGAAUGCUGACAUAAGUAAC
This 403-nucleotide ribosomal RNA is filed under the name Citrobacter koseri. RNAcentral describes it as "partial 23S ribosomal RNA". It matches the Rfam family "Bacterial large subunit ribosomal RNA", at positions 911 to 1310 of the family's 2925-position model. Lineage: Bacteria; Pseudomonadati; Pseudomonadota; Gammaproteobacteria; Enterobacterales; Enterobacteriaceae. The record is from RNAcentral.